RNAcentral lists this transfer RNA (73 nucleotides) under Brisinga sp. SS-2022. Its description in RNAcentral is "tRNA-Met". The record is from RNAcentral. Lineage: Eukaryota; Metazoa; Echinodermata; Asteroidea; Brisingida; Brisingidae.
AAAUAAAGUAAGCUAAUAUUAAGCUUUUGGGUUCAUACCUCAAAAAUAGAAGGGUAGAUCCUCUCUUUAUUUU